CGACCGCGACAGGACUCGAACCUGCAAUCCUCAGAUCCGAAGUCUGAUGCCUUAUCCAUUAGGCCACGCGGCC
Molecule: transfer RNA, 73 nt
Filed under: Caligus rogercresseyi
Lineage: Eukaryota; Metazoa; Arthropoda; Copepoda; Siphonostomatoida; Caligidae
Description: tRNA-Arg
Source: RNAcentral